GUGUCAGCAGCCGCGGUAAUACGUAGGGGGCAAGCGUUGUCCGGAUUUAUUGGGCGUAAAGCGCGUGUAGGCGGCCACACAGGUCCGCUGUGAAAACUCGAGGCUCAACCUCGAGACGUCGGUGGAAACCGUGUGGCUAGAGUCCGGAAGAGGAGAGUGGAAUUCCCGGUGUAGCGGUGAAAUGCGCAGAUAUCGGGAAGAACACCCAUGGCGAAGGCAGCUCUCUGGGACGGUACUGACGCUGAGACGCGAAAGCGUGGGGAGCGAACAGGAUUAGAAACCCGUGUAGUCC
This 292-nucleotide ribosomal RNA is filed under the name uncultured bacterium. Its description in RNAcentral is "partial 16S ribosomal RNA". It matches the Rfam family "Bacterial small subunit ribosomal RNA", at positions 505 to 796 of the family's 1533-position model. The record is from RNAcentral.